GUCCGCGGGAAUUCGAUUCAGGCCUAACACAUGCAAGUUGAGCGGUAGCACAAGAGAGCUUGCUCUCUGGGUGACGAGCGGCGGACGGGUGAGUAAUGUCUGGGAAACUGCCUGUUGGAGGGGGAUAUCUGCUGGAAACGGUAGCUAAUUCCGCAUAACGUCUUCGGACCUAAGUGGGGGACCUUGGGGCCUCACGCCAUCAGAUGUGCCCAGAUGGGAUUAGCUAGUAGGUGGGGUAAUGGGUCACUUAGGCGACGAUCCCUAGCUGGUUUGAGAGGAUGACCAGCCACACUGGAAUUGAGACACGGUCCAGUCUCCUACGGGAGGCAGCAGUGGGGAAUAUUGCACAAUGGGCGCAAGCCUGAUGC
This 368-nucleotide ribosomal RNA is filed under the name uncultured bacterium. RNAcentral's name for it is "bacterial SSU rRNA". It matches the Rfam family "Bacterial small subunit ribosomal RNA", at positions 43 to 389 of the family's 1533-position model. The record is from RNAcentral.